UUUGGGGUGGAACAAUUUUGUU
This 22-nucleotide non-coding RNA is filed under the name Arabidopsis thaliana (thale cress). Lineage: Eukaryota; Viridiplantae; Streptophyta; Magnoliopsida; Brassicales; Brassicaceae. The record is from RNAcentral.